UACGGAGGGUGCAAGCGUUAUCCGGAUUCACUGGGUUUAAAGGGUGCGUAGGCGGGCAGAUAAGUCAGUGGUGAAAUCUCUGGGCUUAACCCAGAAACUGCCGUUGAUACUAUUUGUCUUGAAUAUCAUGGAGGUAAGCGGAAUAUGUCAUGUAGCGGUGAAAUGCUUAGAUAUGACAUAGAACACCAAUUGCGAAGGCAGCACACUACGGGGUCAUUGACACUGAGGCACGAAAGCGUGGGGAUCAAACAGG
Molecule: ribosomal RNA, 253 nt
Filed under: uncultured bacterium
Lineage: Bacteria
Description: partial 16S ribosomal RNA
Rfam family: Bacterial small subunit ribosomal RNA
Source: RNAcentral